UACGUAGGGUGCAAACGUUGUUCGGAAUCACUGGGCAUAAGGGCGCGUAGGCGGUCCAUUAAGUCCUUUGUGAAAGCCCCCGGCUCAACCGGGGAAUUGCAGGGGAUACUGUUGGGCUUGAGUGCAGGAGGGGAGAGCGGAAUUCCUGGUGGAGCGGUGAAAUGCGUAGAUAUCAGGAGGAACGCCGGUGGCGAAAGCGGCUCUCUGGUCUGUUACUGACGCUGAGGCGCGAAAGCUAGGGGAGCAAACGGG
Molecule: ribosomal RNA, 252 nt
Filed under: uncultured bacterium
Lineage: Bacteria
Description: partial 16S ribosomal RNA
Rfam family: Bacterial small subunit ribosomal RNA
Source: RNAcentral